Molecule: ribosomal RNA, 2469 nt
Filed under: Triticum aestivum (bread wheat)
Lineage: Eukaryota; Viridiplantae; Streptophyta; Magnoliopsida; Poales; Poaceae
Description: partial small subunit ribosomal RNA
Source: RNAcentral
AUGUCCACUAGCUUUGGCUCCUACUUUGCUUUGGAAGAACAUGCUAGAGAUGUUGCUCUGGGGAUGGAUGAAACCCCUAUAGGGGAAUGGAAAAGAGUGGCGUGCGCGAUUGGGCCUGUUGUGCGUCCUCACAAAAAAAAAUCUCGCCGGUCCACACGCUCUCCCCCGGAAACGCUUCUUCUCGUCUUCCCCAGUUCUGCCGCCGCCGCCGCCUACCUCUGCCCCAACCUUGCCACCUCCUCUGCCCGUCUACCGUCCUUCCGUCACACCCCGAGGCCCUCAUCACCUCUUCCCACCCGCUCAUCUGCUUUGUGCCGUCGGCCUCCCUCUCGUCCGCUAACCGGCCAUCGCGACGGGGAGCUAGAUCUGCGCCGACACGCCUCAUCAUCGCCUUCGUCUUCUGCUGUGUGCCUACACAUCGGCUAUAGGGACAAGGACCUCGCCGGCUCGCGCAUAAUAGGUCAACGGCAAGCAGUGGAGGUGCAGCAGCGGUCGACGAUGGUGGACCAGAUCAGCGCGUCAUGGGGGUGGACUCCAAGGCCGUCACGUGCAGAGAAGAGAGAGGCCGGCACGGCGGCCGGGCGCGGUCUGGAGAACCGGUGGCCGGUAGUGCGCGAUAUGGGCGUGCGCGACCUGCGUGAGUUGGAGGCGAGGGUCAUAUAUGGAGGACUGGAUUUGAAUGGAAAGAAUUGGAAGGAGUUUUUUUUUCCGGAUGUUCCUGAGGCACUAAAGAACUUGCAUUCUCACCGAAUGAAGGAGAUCAAGAAGUUGAUAGUUGAGCUGGACUACUUGAGGAAGCGGCUUCAGGAGCUCAAACCCAACAACAACUGUGGCUUCGGAAAAGAUUGUUUCCUGAAGAACUUGCCUUUGGAAUUAAAGAAGAUUGCUUUGACACUGACCAGAGACAUACGAAGGAAUCUUCUUUCUGUAAGCUCGUGGUUUCUUCAAGGACUUGAACGUUACCAGAGCUUCCAGCCUUCCAGCCUUAAUGAGGGCCACAAGGCUAGGACGGUUUGCCAGAGCAACAUAUCCCCUCCCUGCUACAAAGGAUUGAUUCUUUUAACCAGGUUUGGAAUUGAAGCAGGGCAGCGCGUCCGGCUACCCUACGAGAAGAAGUGCGUGCAGCUGAGGACCCAGGAUGCCAACGAUGUGGAGCCGUUCACCAUUGAGGGGACCAGGGCUGCCAUCAGGGACCUCCAGACCAAGGUCAACAUCUCUGCCGUCUUCAUCGACGGCGUGUCCCGAAGUGUCAUUGCCGUCCGUAAUGACUCAUCUAAAUAUUCUCAAGAAUUGAAUCCGCCGUCGGCGGGGCACCCACCGUCCGCCCACCCCGCAUCGCCGCCGCCAGAGGGCCGGCCGGCGAAGCCGCGCUGGGCCUUGGGAUGGCGGGGCCGUUUCUCCUUCCUCGAGCCCCAAUCCCCCGCCCUCUGCCACCUGCCUAGAUCUGGUUUGGCGGCUCCGGCAAACUCCACCGGCGACUGCAGCGGCCUCCCCCGGCUUCCCCUGCUCGCUGGCGGUGCGGAUGGCUUGCCGCGGCCGCGGCUCCCGUUCGCCCCAGACGCGAUUUGGGUGCUCCUCCCAGCAGGUGACGGUGCUUUUCGGCCAGCCGACCAUGGCGGCCGGGCGUGCCCUACUUGCUGCGGCUACCCCCUCCCCCGACCCACCCCUUCCCCUACUCGAGCUUCGGACCGGCCUCUUUGGGAGGCGGCCAUGGAGCCGGCUUGUCCUGCCGACAGUGCCUGUUUCUUGCAGCUCGCCGAUCAGGAGUGUGGCUGCGCGCGAGAUCCCUUCAACACCACCGCCACCCACCACCACCCCGCAGGGGCGGCUUCUGCCCGGCGGCCAUGGACCUGCGUCCCUUUCCUGUGUUCAUGGUUGGCCGGCGCGCCCUCAGACCCAGCAAGCCCUAGGAGCUGCGCUAUUUCCGGCUCAUUUGGCUCACUAGCUCCUCGGUGUCUCCGCUCCACCACCACCCUACCGGUUACUUGGUUGGCCGUCCAUCCCGGUGCAUCUUCGUCUCCGACAUUGCUCCAGGAGCUGCGUCCCCUUCCAGCUCCUAGGUCCGCCGGCGCCCUGCUGCUCUGGUUCUGGGUGGCCCAGGUCUGCGCUCCCUUCCAGAUCCUGUCUCGUCCGGGGAUAUGGCUACUGUCCCAUACCCGCCGCCUCUCAUUUCGCAUAGCCACGCAACUUUGCCCUCCUUCGGAGUUCGCACGUCCAGCGGCGCCCGAUGCCUCCUACGGCGUUGUGCGUGGCUCACCUUCCUGUAGUCGCAACUCCAGCAAAUGCGCGACGACCUCCUCUCUGAUUCGUGUUCCGACGUCUUGGGAUUGCUCGGAAUUGGCCAGGGAGAAAUCACUGCAUCUUAUGCUGGUAGCGGCGGCACCCGUGGGUGUCGUACCCUUCUUGGAGGCGCUGCCAUGGUCGUUUUUCUGUGCCCCUCUUCGAGCAUCAGAGGAAACCCUAGGUUAG